This 348-nucleotide ribosomal RNA is filed under the name Triticum aestivum (bread wheat). RNAcentral's name for it is "partial small subunit ribosomal RNA". Lineage: Eukaryota; Viridiplantae; Streptophyta; Magnoliopsida; Poales; Poaceae. The record is from RNAcentral.
AUGGCAUGGUGGCGGAAGAAGGUUGUGUUCCCAAGUGCAUCGUGUGCUGGCCGCCGUCUCCAUCCGCGUCCGCGCUCGCAAGACAGAACAGACGGUGAGGACGGUGAAUCACACCAUCUGGAAGGAGGCACUGGGGCAACAUCAAGAAGUUCUGUUAAACUGAUUCAUAGCGGCGUUUCAAAGUUCAAUCAGAAGAAGCGCGGCUUUGUGGUUUCUACAGGAUGGAGAGGCACCCUGCACAUCCCUGAGCUGAACAAGCUAAAUCUAAAGUUGGAUGUGUUCUUGCUUACACAUGUGGACAUAGAUAAGAGGGCAAUUGUAAUCCACGAUGAUAGAAUACCCAUUUGA